UCCUACGGGGGGCAGCAGUAGGGAAUAUUGCUCAAUGGGGGAAACCCUGAAGCAGCAACGCCGCGUGGAGGAUGAAGGUUUUAGGAUUGUAAACCUCUUUAGGCGGGGAGCAAUGCCGGGCACGCGUGCCCGGAGGGAGAGUACCCGCAGAAUAAGCAUCGGCUAACUCCGUGCCAGCAGCCGCGGUAAUACGGAGGAUGCGAGCGUUAUCCGGAUUUAUUGGGUUUAAAGGGUGCGUAGGCGGAUUUUUAAGUCAGCGGUAAAAUGUCCGGGCUCAACCCGGGCCGGCCGUUGAAACUGGGGGU
Molecule: ribosomal RNA, 305 nt
Filed under: uncultured bacterium
Lineage: Bacteria
Description: bacterial SSU rRNA
Rfam family: Bacterial small subunit ribosomal RNA
Source: RNAcentral